UAAGCUUCCACCACCAUCAUCCUUGCAGUUGGAGAGACCAUUCCUAAAAUAGCUAAUCAAGGUCAAAGUAGCUUGGCCAUGUAACAAGGACGCAUUCGGAGUAUGUAUCAUGGCCGAAUACCGCAAUACUAACCAAAUCGAGAAUUGAGUUCAAGAACCAAGCAGAUCUUGGCAUCGAAAAGGCAGAUGGAGUGUCUUCUAUCUCUUUUCUUCCAGAUAAUUGUGUUUCCUGAACCACCACAUCAAAGGAUUUCCUAAUAGCUUUCUCGGUGGCAGGAGGAUGCCAUGGACCAGAGGAAAACGAGGAUUCUCUUGAACUGCAGCCUGCAGAAGGAUUAGGCGUUAAAUCCUUUGUCACCUCCAAUAAGGCUCUCCAUUUUAAUGGUUGUGGAGGUUUAUUCUAGCAAUGGAAAGUUGUGUUGGAAGAUUGUCAAGGCUAGAUAUGGUGUUAUGGUGGGCGUUGGAUGACGGAGAUGCCUUCGGUACUGAAAGAAAGACUUGGUUGGUAGUAUUCAUCUCGUGCAUUUUGUAACUGGCAAUGGGCAAAGAUUGGGAUUUUUGGACAAUGUAUGAUAUAGUGACUCUGCUUUGCAAACGUGUCUUCUUACAAUCUUUUACUUAGCUUUUAAUUAAGUGAACGAUUGUAAUCAACCUUGUCAUAAACCUUUGGAGAUUGAGGAGUAUGGGAAUUAUAUUCCUGCCCCUGAGAAAGAUUCUACGGAUCUGGUAUGGAAAAUGCCCCAAUUUGGAAUGUUUCUAAGGAUGGAACUUGUUGUCAAAAUCUUGAUAUAUUGCUAAUUUCAGCUGGAUACUCUCCUUCACAGUUGGCCUGGAAAGCCUAUUUGGAAGUAGAAGGCUUCCCCUGGAGUUUCUUUCUUUAUCUAGGAAGCAACAUGGGAGUGUAUCCUUUACCAUGGGUAACUUCAGUAAGAGGAAGGCAUCAUUGCUAAUAGUUGUCUCUUUUGUUCUGCUAUUUCAAAUCCCUAACCAUCUUUUGUUGUGUCUUCAAGCGAGAAGGCUUCCCUUUCAGGAAUCCAGUGAGUGACGGGUGGAUCUAUUAGUAAUGUAGCUACUAUGCUGUUACGGUAAUCACUGUCAUGAUAGAAAGAAGAAGCUUGUAUCUCUUAUUCCUCAUGUCAUUUCUUGCACUAUUUGGAGAGAAAGGAGUAGGCGAUAGUUGGUCCAAAUUGUAAAUAUUUUGAUCCCUCUGCAACAAACCAAAAAAGUUGAGUAUUUUGUCUAAAGAUGAUUCUAUCCUCUAUCAGAACUCUUUUAGGUGAUAUUUUACCAGAGUUCCUCUUUUAAUUUUCUAAUUUAUGAGCCCAUAAAUGGGUGGCAACCCCUUUGUGCCUCUAGAAAUAUCUUUAUUUGUUUUUAAUAAAUUUUUACAUUUAAUGGAUAAUUUUUUCAUUUAUUUUUACCCAAUAUAUUCAGCCUCUUUGAGGAGAGUUGGGGAUUCCCACCCACUCUUGAGGUUUUUUUUUCUCUGCCUAUUUGAGAGUUUGGGUGAAGAAUAAAUGAUGUAAAGUGCUUUGGAGAAAGGCACCUUUUGCUGAGUGCUGGGCUUUGUGGUUGGAACACAAUCCACAACUUUUAAUUAAUGUGUUAAUCCUACAAAUGCUAUUUGGGGUAGAAUGAUCUGUAUAUAGCCUCUUAGGGGGCUAAGUGGGCUUGCCAUUGACUAUUUUGCAAAGUAAUUGGGAAACUGUCAUUAAAUAGUUUCCCAUUCAAUUUUUACAAAAUUUACCCCUUUUUCUUCUAUUUUUUUCCCCCCUUUUCUAACUUGUUUUCUUUCUUUAUAUAUGAUGAUACCUUGCCAUUUUUCUAUUGUUUUUCUCUUUCUUUCUUUUUCUUAAAAAAAAAAUGAAAAAGAAAAUAACCAUAAGUCAUUCUACUGGCGAACUACCAGUUUCAGCUGUAAACAAUGGUACUUUAUUAUUGUGGCAUAGCUUGUGUGGAGAUUAUGCAUGUUUGUUCAUGUGCAUUUUACUGUGAAAAUUCUUAUAGAAAUUAUAUUUCCGACAUCUUUUUAUUAUAUUUUAUUUAUUUAGAAAAUAAAUAAAAAAUACUCUAAAAGUUUCAAAACUCAUAAAUUUUAUGAAAAUAAUGGAUAAUAUUUAAAAUUGUUUGGACAUUUUGGAACCCAACCUGAAUGUUUGAUGCAUUGUUUGACACUGUUGCGUGCCACAAUGUCUUAUCCCUACUCUCACUUGUUUCUCCUCAUGCAUGUUGUAAUGCCAACCAAGUAUUUCCUUCAGAAAGGUGCAGGUUUAAUAUUCUCUUUCCUUUUUGAUCUGGUAAUAUAGUUGCAAUGCCUCCUUCUCACAGUAAUGUGUAAAUAUGCCAUCAAGCUCUCCUGUUCUUCUUUCCCUUGUUAUCUGGAGAAGUUAGUAGCUCCCUUCCUAUUCCCAUGUGUAGUGGUAGAAUCGGCCCAGCCUCCUAUAUGGAAAUCCAAUAUCUUGAACUGGACACUGAAAUAAUGUGGUGAGGGAAGUGGCGUUGUGAGUUUGAUGGGGGAAUAGUGCUGACUGGAAGGAGAGUAUUUACAAUUCUGUGCUUUUUCCUUUUUUAAGGAUAAUUUGAUAAUUGUAAAAUUAUUAAAAAAAGUACACUCUUAAAAUACAUUUUCUAUUGUAGAGCUCAGAAAGCCAUUAGAAAAAUUCUGUCUUGGGGGAUUCUGUUGGAGGUUAAUUAAGCUGAAGAUGAAUUUAUCUAGAAUUAUCUUUUUCUGCAAUGGGAGGGGAGUCGUGAUUAGGAGGAUUUUAACUGAUGAAAAUCUAAGAAAAGAAGGGGAAGAUAUAAUGUUAUCUUUAUUAUGGGUGACUGAGACUUGAUAUCAUUCUGGUCAGUGGUUUCAGGAUAAGCUCCAAGUGUGGGAAGGUAUCCGGGCAAUAAUAGAAGGAAAAAACUUAUUUUGUUUCACACUAUUGGAUAUCUAAAAGACAAGCAAUGGAAAGGGUUUCAGACGAUGUUGCAGCCUCUUCUGGUAGACUUGGGCAUAUACGGUUCUAGACCUUCUGUUUCUUGUUUAAGGGUUAUCUUUUUUCUUCUACAUAGGACUUGGGAAAGUUCAUUGAUCUCAUUUGUAUUAUAUUCCUCAUUUUUCUAAAUGCGGGCAGCACUCUCUUAAUUUGCUGUUGGUGCAUCUCUUUUGGGGUCCUUCUAGAAAUGCGUAAUUAAGCUGAAACAAGAAGGGUAUGUACAAAUUAAUGUCGGAGUUCGAAAACACUAGUGUGAUAAAGUUGACAGGGUGUCACAUGACGUGUCUAUGGCAAGGAUCUAUCCACUAUAAGUGUGCCAUUAUGGUAUCUUUCUUGAGUUAAUGAGUAUAAAUGGUCGGAACCCUAAUUUCCUUUGAGAUUGAGAAAACAAGAAAAGGAGGAGAUGGAGCGGAGAGGUGGCGGUCGAUAUGAUCUUCGUCCAUUGGUGCAAUCCUCAUCAAUGUCAGAAAGCACAAGGCUAAAAGUGCUAUUUCACUCUUCAUCACUUGGGAUACCAUGGAUGAUAGGAAUAAAAGAACUUUCAAUAGGGUAUAAAGCCCUUUUCAUGGGACAGAUAUCUUUGAUUGUGUAUCAUAUUCUUUUGAUUACUUGCCACACUUUUGCCAGCGACGAAGAGUUUGGUUUUGUGGGUGUCAUAGAGCUUUUAUCUUGUAAGGUAAUCAUUUGUUCAUGGGUGACACCUUCUUGGUGCUUUCAUUCAACAUGUGGCUUUAGAAACGUAAUGUUGUGUUUAUUGCACAAAUGAAUUCCAUAUGCCUGCAGAAUCAACAAUGCCUUGAUUGACAUGGAUUGUUGAUGUAAAUCAACUUUUGAACUUGCUACAGAGCUAGUUGUGGUUUUCGCCGGCA
Long non-coding RNA from Carica papaya (papaya), 3850 nucleotides. RefSeq lists it as uncharacterized. The record is from RefSeq and is a predicted model, not a curated record. Lineage: Eukaryota; Viridiplantae; Streptophyta; Magnoliopsida; Brassicales; Caricaceae.